ACGGGAGGCAGCAGUGGGGAAUAUUGCACAAUGGGGGAAACCCUGAUGCAGCAACGCCGCGUGAGUGAAGAAGUAUUUCGGUAUGUAAAGCUCUAUCAGCAGGAAAGAAAAUGACGGUACCUGACUAAGAAGCCCCGGCUAACUACGUGCCAGCAGCCGCGGUAAUACGUAGGGGGCAAGCGUUGUCCGGAAUGAUUGGGCGUAAAGGGAGUGUAGGCGGGACUGUAAGUCAGAUGUGAAAUAUGCCGGCUCAACUGGCAGACUGCAUUUGAAACUGCGGUUCUUGAGUGAAGUAGAGGUAAGCGGAAUUCCUAGUGUAGCGGUGAAAUGCGUAGAUAUUAGGAGGAACAUCAGUGGCGAGGGCGGCUUACUGGGCUUUAACUGACGCUGAGGCUCGAAAGCGUGGGGAGCAAACAGGAUUAGAUACCCUGGUA
RNAcentral lists this ribosomal RNA (434 nucleotides) under uncultured Clostridium sp. RNAcentral describes it as "partial 16S ribosomal RNA". It matches the Rfam family "Bacterial small subunit ribosomal RNA", at positions 341 to 792 of the family's 1533-position model. The record is from RNAcentral. Lineage: Bacteria; Bacillati; Bacillota; Clostridia; Eubacteriales; Clostridiaceae.